This 492-nucleotide ribosomal RNA is filed under the name uncultured bacterium. RNAcentral's name for it is "partial 16S ribosomal RNA". It matches the Rfam family "Bacterial small subunit ribosomal RNA", at positions 29 to 507 of the family's 1533-position model. The record is from RNAcentral.
AGUGAACGCUGGCGGUAGGCCUAACACAUGCAAGUCGAACGGCAGCACAGUAAGAGCUUGCUCUUACGGGUGGCGAGUGGCGGACGGGUGAGGAAUACAUCGGAAUCUACUUUUUCGUGGGGGAUAACGUAGGGAAACUUACGCUAAUACCGCAUACGACCUACGGGUGAAAGCAGGGGAUCUUCGGACCUUGCGCGAUUGAAUGAUCCGAUGUCGGAUUAGCUAGUUGGCGGGGUAAAGGCCCACCAAGGCGACGAUCCGUAGCUGGUCUGAGAGGAUGAUCAGCCACACUGGAACUGAGACACGGCCCAGACUCCUACGGGAGGCAGCAGUGGGGAAUAUUGGACAAUGGGCGCAAGCCUGAUCCAGCCAUACCGCGUGGGUGAAGAAGGCCUUCGGGUUGUAAAGCCCUUUUGUUGGGAAAGAAAAGCAGCAGGUUAAUACCCCGCUGUUCUGACGGUACCCAAAGAAUAAGCACCGGCUAACUUCGUG